This 429-nucleotide ribosomal RNA is filed under the name Acidobacteriota bacterium. Its description in RNAcentral is "Acidobacteria bacterium partial 16S ribosomal RNA". It matches the Rfam family "Bacterial small subunit ribosomal RNA", at positions 355 to 776 of the family's 1533-position model. The record is from RNAcentral. Lineage: Bacteria; Pseudomonadati; Acidobacteriota.
UGGGGAAUUUUGGACAAUGGGGGAAACCCUGAUCCAGCCAUCCCGCGUGUGCGAUGAAGGCCUUCGGGUUGUAAAGCACUUUUGGCAGGAAAGAAACGUCAUGGGUUAAUACCCCGUGAAACUGACGGUACCUGCAGAAUAAGCACCGGCUAACUACGUGCCAGCAGCCGCGGUAAUACGUAGGGUGCAAGCGUUAAUCGGAAUUACUGGGCGUAAAGCGUGCGCAGGCGGUUCGGAAAGAAAGAUGUGAAAUCCCAGAGCUCAACUUUGGAACUGCAUUUUGAACUACCGGGCUAGAGUGUGUCAGAGGGAGGUGGAAUUCCGCGUGUAGCAGUGAAAUGCGUAGAUAUGCGGAGGAACACCGAUGGCGAAGGCGGCCUCCUGGGAUAACACUGACGCUCAUGCACGAAAGCGUGGGGAGCAAACAGG